This 2874-nucleotide ribosomal RNA is filed under the name Hymenoscyphus salicellus. RNAcentral's name for it is "bacterial LSU rRNA". The stretch from base 40 to 2113 matches the Rfam family "Bacterial large subunit ribosomal RNA", at positions 15 to 2044 of the family's 2925-position model. Lineage: Eukaryota; Fungi; Ascomycota; Leotiomycetes; Helotiales; Helotiaceae. The record is from RNAcentral.
UCUAUACAAAUAAACAAAAAGUAUAGGAAAGUAUAUAAAGAAACUAUUAGGGAUACCUGGCUAUAUAUUAAAGAGAGUCACCAACAGGAAUUAAAAAUUUAAAUUGUGAAUAAGCCUAAACCUAGGCUUAUCUUUUUCACAUGUACUCUUAGAGAAAUUCAAUAAUAAACGAAGUGAAUCGAAAUAUCUUAGUAACUUCAGGAAAAGAAAUCAAACGAGAUUCUAUGAUUAGUGUGAAUGAAAGUAGAAAAGUCUAAUGCAAGUAAAACGGGCAAAACCUGUUUGAACAUAUAGGGGAACCUUCCUCUAAGACUAAAUAUAAUAUAUAAGCGAUAGCGUAAAAGUACGGUGAAGGAAAGGUUAGAAAUAGUAGUUUUAUAAGCAGCUCGAGUUAAAUUUAAAUAAAAAGUAAGAGCGUACCUUUGGCAUAAUGGGUCAGCGAGUUAAUAUUAGAUGCGAGCAGAAAUGCCCAGAUAAACCAAUUAUGAAAUAAUGAAUUAGUAUCUAAAAUUAGACCCGAAGCCUGGUGAUCUUACUACAGUCAGGGUUAUAAAAGCCCGAACGGUUUAUCGUUGUAUAGAUAUCCGAAGAACUGUGGUAAGUUAGUGAAAGACAACACUGACUAGGAUAGCUGGUUUUCUGCGAAACCUAUAUAAGUAGGUAAUUCAAACUACAUCAUAGCAGGUACAGAACUGUGAUCUCAGGCAACUACUAUUUUAAUAUUUUAUCGGCUAUGCUUUUUAGUUAGCCAUAUGGAUAUGAGAUAAUUUUGCAUAUAUCGGGGGAUCGUGAUGAUUUUAUCGGUGAGUAUUCGCACUCGGAAGGGCAAUGAUGAAUAUUGAAUAAUCGGACAUAGUACGAUAAGGUUGUAUGUCUAAAGGGAAACAGCCCAGAACAAGAGUUAAGGUUCCAAAAUUAUUGUUAAGUGAAAUUAAGGAAGUUUCUAUCUAAUACGACUAGGAAAUUGACUUAGAAGCGGCUCAUUUUUUGAAGAUCUCGUAACAGAGCACUGGUUUAGUAAUUAUUUAAUUACUUUGAUAGUUGCACCGAAAAUUUAACGGAUCUAAACAAUAUACCGACACCUUGUCCAUUUAAUAUUCUAUUUAAACAGUAUAUUUAAUGGGGUAGCAGAACGUUGGGUAAAUCUAGACUAUUCUUUUUAAGAACAUUAGUUGUAUAGAGAUUUAAUAAUUUAGCAGAACACAGUUGAAGUAAUUAUUGAUAAUUAUUUUAGCUGCUCAACUACGUUGAAGUUGUGUUAAAUUGGUUUCUUUAAUGAUAACCCAAGUGAGAAUGCUGACAUGAGUAACGAAAAGGGGAAACCCCGCCUAAAGCUUAUGGUUUUUAUAAAGUAACGGCCUCUAAGUUUACCAACCUAAGGGAUUAAACGAUGAGCAAAACUUGGUUACAAAGUAACAACCGAUUGCAUAACAGUGAAGAAGGUUCUGGAAAAACAGUAACGGUAGUUAUAAUAUGAGGGUUUAUUUUAUUAAAAUUAUGCAAUAAACUCUAAGUCUAAACUAGACUAUAAACCCAAAGCUUUUAAGUAUUAGAAAUAAUAUCUUAAAAUAGCCUGUUUUUUUUCUUGCUAUACUUCUGGCGAAGCACAGCAUGAAAAAAUAGGCUAUAUUUAGCUUAAUAAUAAAUAUUCAUGUAAUAAUUACUAAACCCCACCAUAGGUUCCAAAAACCGUACCUAAAAACUACCACAAGUAAGCUAGUAGAGAAUACGAAGGCGUUUGAGUGAACAAUCAUUAAGGAACUCGGCAAACUAACUACCGUAACUUCGGGAUAAGGAGAGCCAUUCCUCCUAAUUAAUAUUAGGUAAAGAAUAGGAAGCAUGGAAUAGUGUUGUACGACUGUUUAAUUAAAACAAAGCACUCUGCAGUAAGAUAAUAAAUCAAAGUAUUGAGUGUGAUUUCUGCCCGAUGUCGGCUGGUUAACGGAUUUUCUAAGUUGACUAAUAUAAGCUUGGUUUUGAAGGAAACCCCGAUCAAUGGCGGCCUUACCUAUGAGGGUCCUAAGGUAGCGGAAUACCCUGGCCGUUAAAUGCGGUCUUGCAUGAAUGAUUUAACGAUACAACAGCUGUCUCAAUGAUUGGCUCAGUGAAAUUGGAAUAACUGUGCAGAUACAGUUUACCUCUAGUUAGACGAGAAGACCCUAUGCAGCUUUACUGUUACUAGUAAUUGGAUAUGAUAUUGUACGAUUUUUAGAGAAUAAGGUAGAAAGUAGAGGUCCAAAAUUGAAACACCUUUAUUUAUAUAAUCAUAUUGGUAGACAAAGUCUACGUCAGAGUAUAUGGCGUUAUCCUCCGUAGGAGGUGAUGUUAAAUAGGGUAGAAACUAACCUCCGCUCUCCAUAAAUACAAUGAUUAACCUUAAGGGAACAAUUGCUAGGAGGCAGUUUAUGCGGGGCACAGAUCCCAUAAAAAGUACCUGGGUGUAUCCAAAGUUAAUUUGGUAAAAUUGUCGUAAUUUUAAUAUAUUAUGACAGAAAAAUAUAGCAUUUUUCUCUACGAAGUCUGUAGAGAAAUUGGGUAUAUUUUGCUUUAUUUUUAGUUUGUUAUUUGGUAUAGCUUAAGCUAUAACCAAUCCAGCUAUAUAUCUAAUUAAGUUAGAACUAACAUUUUUAAAUCAAGUAAGAUUUUAACUAUAUGGAAAAUAGAUGUAAUUAAAACAUUAGUUUUAAAUUUUUAAUGUUUUUAGUUAUAUUAUUCAGUAUGCUAUUAAAAAAAACAUAGGGAUGUCUUCUUACGAAGUAUGGAAACACCCCUUUAUGUGAAUAGUUAAGAACACUAAUAAUAUAAUUAUGUUUAUUACUUGUCAAGUUUAAUGGCUUAAUCUUGCUUUACUGUUUGACUUACACGUCUAUCAGU